UCAUGCUGGAAGUCACAGGAGUCAAUGAUCUGGAUGCUCCACAAAUUGGCAUGUUCAGCAAUGCCUUUAGAAGCAAGGUUAUUCUUGAUUCGGAUAAAGCUCAAAUUGAACUGCCAGAUGAAGAAGUUUCUGUGGUUUCUUUAGAUGAAACAUCAGCAGACUGCAAUGACGAGGAACUAAGUGGUUUGGCAUCUUGGUUGGGUGGAUCCUAUGCUAUAGAUGCUUUGGAAACACAGAAUGGAAAGUUGAUCAUCCCACUGGCUAGUGGUGUCAAUAUGAAUCUUCACGUGUCAAAGAAAGCAGACCAGGAAUUCAUGGCAAGUCUCUUGGCUUUGUUCCGCAAUAGUAGAAGAGCAGUAGAAAUGCAUGAAGAUCUGUCACAGGCUACUCAAGGACCUGCAGAGUUGAUCAUGGGUCGUUUUGAUGGCGUUAAGGCCUUGCAAGAGCAAUAUGGACCUGAAGUUGUGGAGCAAGGACUGGAGCUAUUGCUUGCUACAUUGUCUAAAAUGCUUGAUUCAUUCCAAGCAGC
Molecule: unclassified non-coding RNA, 529 nt
Filed under: Hevea brasiliensis (rubber tree)
Lineage: Eukaryota; Viridiplantae; Streptophyta; Magnoliopsida; Malpighiales; Euphorbiaceae
Source: RNAcentral